CAGCCGCCGCGGUAAUACGUAUGUCGCAAGCGUUAUCCGGAUUUAUUGGGCGUAAAGCGCGUCUAGGUGGUUUGAUAAGUCUGAUGUGAAAAUGCGGAGCUCAACUCCGUAUUGCGUUGGAAACUGUCAAACUAGAGUAUCGGAGAGGUGGGCGGAACUACAAGUGUAGAGGUGAAAUUCGUAGAUAUUUGUAGGAAUGCCGAUAGAGAAGUCAGCUCACUGGACGAAUACUGACACUGAAGCGCGAAAGCAUGGGGAGCAAACAGGAUUAGAUACCCUGGUAGUCCAUGCCGUAAACGAUGAUUACUAAGCGUCGGGGGUCGAACCUCGGCACUCAAGCUAACGCGAUAAGUAAUCCGCCUGGGGAGUACGUACGCAAGUAUGAAACUCAAAGGAAUUGACGGGGACCCGCACAAGUGGUGGAGCAUGUGGUUUAAUUCGACGCAACGCGAGGAACCUUACCAGCGUUUGACAUCCUAAGAAUGAAAAAGAGAUUUUUCAGUGCUCCUUCGGGAGAACUUAGAGACAGGAGGUGCAUGGCC
This 542-nucleotide ribosomal RNA is filed under the name uncultured archaeon. Its description in RNAcentral is "bacterial SSU rRNA". It matches the Rfam family "Bacterial small subunit ribosomal RNA", at positions 509 to 1050 of the family's 1533-position model. The record is from RNAcentral.